GUUUUUAUUGUAAAGGUAUGUUUAUGUUUGCGGAAUUAUAGUUUUGAGUUUAAUCUUAUUACAGUUUGGAAAAAUAAAUGUGAAGACAAUUUCGACAACUGUGAAACGUCACUGCAGUAGCAGCGCAUCAUCUACAGACUCGCAGCCAGCGUUUUCUGCCUGGAAACACUACAAGCUAAUCGGAACAGUGAAAACAUCGGAUUUCGUGCCUGGAGCUUGUGUGGGGCAUGGGGGGAGGUCAAAGUGCUGAUUCAUCUACAGAUCUUGGGCAGAAGAACCAAGGCUGUCUCUUAUCCCAAGGCAAUGAGCCAUCAACCAGCCAGAAUGUCGACAAAGAACAUGAGAGCCAAUCAUCGGAAGCAGGGACUGAUUUGCCCCAAUGUAAAAUGGGCAGCAAGACAGUAGAUGACAUGAGUUACAUAAUAUCAUGCACAAACUGGUACUAGGGUCCUUUUUACUGGGGCACCAUUGUAAAAGCCAGUCACUUUUUGAGCACCAAAUACAGCAUAGAGCUAUCCAAGCAGAUGGAAAGGUGGGUACAUGUUUUCAUAAGUUGCGUUAAUGAACAUGCAGUUUGUAACAAUACUAUUACUUGACUGUCUGCUUGAAUAGACUAUCUGCAUAAUACUCAUGAGCUUGAUCUGUAUUGCAUAUCUUUACAACUUAAAUAGUUUGCCAGAACAGAACAUGCUUCUCACAAUCACAAUUUCAUGAUAUAACACAUAUGUUGAGGAGUUAUCAUGUAAUAGUUUAAUAGGAUAACUGACAGUAUUUUAACAGCUACAAAUCACUACAAAAUAUAUACUGUAGUGGACACAGCACCUAGAGAAAAACACACUGCAUAGAAAGCAGGUCAUCUACCCUGCCUGUUAGAUGUGUCCUAUGCACUCUAAUUCUCAACUCACACUUGUACCCACCUGUUUGUAAAAUGUGCCAAAACAUUUCAAGAAUGUGUACUCAGAUAUAAUCACACUAAACAAGACAACCAAGUCUCACUGAAGCAAUCUUAAUAACCAAACAGAUUGACUUUUUCCUUUAUUGUUGUUUCUUUGUUAAUAGAACAUGGCGAUAUUAUUAGGUACACAGUGUAGAACUGCUGACUUAAAAUAAUAAUUUAAAAACAGUUUAAUCUGGAUGGAAUUAAAAAUGUAAACUUAUUCAAAUAAACCUGGAAUAUCUAUAUUUUAAAAUCAAGACAAUUAAAAAUCACUGUCAUUCUCAAGAAUGAUAGCAUUAUACAAGAUGUGUGAAAUUAUCAGCUACUCUUAACAACUGAAAGGAAAAUACAAAAGGUUCAAAGUUUCAGAUAAUCAUUAUAUUUACAUGAGUCAUGGGUGAGGCUGAGCAGACAGCAACAUCUGACCUGUAAUUUAGACAAUAUCAAAAAAAUGUAUGGACAGAGUCUAUGUUGGCUGACUUGGAUAACUAAGUGUUUCAUCCAUAAAUUCAUUUGAAGAAACCAAUGAGAAAACUAAAGUUAUAUACAGUAAUACAUUUAAAGUUUCAAAAAGAAGCAAACCAACAAUAACUUUAAAGCUAUAUCAGAUAAAAUCUCACUUGUAAUCAAUCCUUUGUAUGCAAAGAACAUAAAUAUUUUGUUCUUGUAAAAUUCUGGAUUACCUCUGAUAUGUUUUUUUUUCCCUCCCUCCUAUUGUUAGUCUCAUAAAAUUACUAUAGAAACCAAAGGCAACAACAGGUAGAGGUUAAGAGUGGCUGUCAUCCAAAGCAACCAUCACACCCAUAAAAAGAGGCAAAUCAGUUAAUUCCUACUUCCAUAUCUUCCUGUACAGAUCUGUUUACUUUCUGGUCAAUUUCAUGGCUUCACCUUGACUUCAGUUUAAACUGUGUAGAAUACCUUCUGUAAAUGACUAUUUCUAUAAAUACUGUAAAUAGUUUCUCAUGUUAAAUGCUACUGUUUUUAAAAUGUUCAUAAAAUGUACGAACCCUCAUCAUAACUCUAAAGACAAUUUCUAAUAAAUAUAUCUUAUAUAUUUCAAAUGUUUAAUUCCUUCAAGACCUCAAAUCUGCAACAUUUUAAAUGUGUCUUGAUGUAUACACAACACUAUCUUGCUCAGUUUUCUGUUGUCAGGGGAGGGGCGUUCACAGCAUUGUGACAGUCCUAAUUGUGUCAUUCAAGUAACUGACAUUUCUGUUUCUCCUUGUAAAAAUGUCUCUGUUCCUAAAGAGUAUCCUUUACUUUGCCACACAACAGUGAAACAGGUAAGUGGUAAGUGACCAAACAAACCUAAAAAACAUGUAUGUCAGUAUCUGUUAUCAAGAGAUUGGUUUAGAUGUGGUCAGCAAUAUUGUUUAGAGAGAAUAAUAAGAAAUUACAUAAUUAAUAGUAUUACUUCUAUUAUUAAGUAGAAUAUUGACAUUAUCUUCUUUUUCAUUCUCAUAAAUGACAUUUAGUCAGAUAUAACAAAACUCCCAAAAUAGACUACCAAUAUUUUCCCUUAUGUUUAUGCUUGUUCUUGACUUUAGAAUUACCUCAGUGAUGGAAAAUUUGACUGCAUUAAUCCCAAAGAUUCAGGCAAAAGAUGCACAAUGACAGAGUAUGCAAACUACCUUGAGAUAUCAUAAAAAGUAUAUUAAACAACAUUUUAAACAUGGAACACACUCUUCUGUGCUACAGCAACAAACUUCGCUCACGUUUUACCAUGACCAAUGUUUUUCUUUCUUUCUUGACACCCAGUGAGUUCAUCAGAUCAUUCAGAGAUGAGGAAGACUAUCAGUGAAGCACAGUGUGUUCCAUUCAAAGGAAGUCCCAGCCAGGACUUCCUGUACUCAAGAUGCAGAAUGCCCCCAUCACCAUGUGGCCAACUGCUGCUGGCAGGUUCUUGAAUUGAACUCUUGUCUGAGAGACAAUCCCAUGAAAUCUGUCUAAAGCUUGCACAGAUGAAAGCCUGUUGUUUUUCCAAGCCUUUCUCUACCCACAGCCAAGAUCUCAUAAUGUAGAUGUAAAGAUCGGGAAAUAAGUAAUAUAAUCCAUCAAGAAGACAAGGGAAAACAUUAUUUCUGCAAAUUACACAGAUCUCCAAGUACGGGAUGCACUGUUAACUAUAGUUGCUAAAACUGUCUCCUCUUUGAAAUCAUGGUAAACUUGAAUCAACUUAAAGAAGACAUGUCAAGCUGGCCAUAGCAAGUUUUAAGACAAGGCACAAUGUCUUAAAGAAGGCCCAGAAUUAUUUUUAAGGCAGACACACAAACAUAAAAAGAUAGGGUGAAAAGUGGUUCGGAAGACCAGUCAAGUGAAUACAGAAAACAAAAAUCUGCCUCCAUCAGGG
Long non-coding RNA from Electrophorus electricus (electric eel), 3287 nucleotides. RefSeq lists it as uncharacterized. The record is from RefSeq and is a predicted model, not a curated record. NCBI's taxonomy places the organism in Eukaryota, Metazoa, Chordata, Actinopteri, Gymnotiformes, Gymnotidae.